Molecule: transfer RNA, 76 nt
Filed under: Bacteroidales bacterium
Lineage: Bacteria; Pseudomonadati; Bacteroidota; Bacteroidia; Bacteroidales
Also listed under: 1 other name
Description: tRNA-Lys
Rfam family: tRNA
About the family: Transfer RNA (tRNA) molecules are approximately 80 nucleotides in length. Their secondary structure includes four short double-helical elements and three loops (D, anti-codon, and T loops). Further hydrogen bonds mediate the characteristic L-shaped molecular structure. tRNAs have two regions of fundamental functional importance: the anti-codon, which is responsible for specific mRNA codon recognition, and the 3' end, to which the tRNAs corresponding amino acid is attached (by aminoacyl-tRNA synthetases). tRNAs cope with the degeneracy of the genetic code in two manners: having more than one tRNA (with a specific anti-codon) for a particular amino acid; and 'wobble' base-pairing, i.e. permitting non-standard base-pairing at the 3rd anti-codon position.
Source: RNAcentral
GAUUCAGUAGCUCAGUUGGUAGAGCACAUCCCUUUUAAGGAUGGGGUCCUGAGUUCGAGCCUCAGCUGAAUCACCA